AUUAGCCAUGCAUGUCUCAGUGCAAGCCACACUAAGGUGAAACCGCAAAUGGCUCAUUAAAUCAGUUAUGAUUUAUUAGAUGAUACAUUAUAUUACUUGGAUAACUGUGGCAAUUCUAGAGCUAAUACAUGCAAACGGAGUUCCUGCUUUUAAUGGCAGGAACGCUUUUAUUAGAUCAAAACCAAUACGUUAGCUUCGGUUAACGAUAUCAUUGGUGACUCUGAAUAACUUUAUGAUGAUCGCACGGUCCUUGUACCAGCGACAAAUCUUUCAAAUGUCUGACUUAUCAACUGUCGAUGGUAGGCUUUACGCCUACCAUGGUUGUAACGGGUAACGGGGAAUCAGGGUUCGAUUCCGGAGAGGGAGCCUGAGAAACGGCUACCACAUCCAAGGAAGGCAGCAGGCGCGCAAAUUACCCACUCCCAGCACGGGGAGGUAGUGACGAAAAAUAACGAUACGGGACUCAUCCGAGGCCCCGUAAUCGGAAUGAGCACACUUUAAAUACUUUAACAAGUAUCCAUUGGAGGGCAAGUCUGGUGCCAGCAGCUGCGGUAAUUCCAGCUCCAAUAGCGUAUAUUAAAGUUGUUGCGGUUAAAAAGCUCGUAGUUGAAGUUGUGAAUUGCACUGUUGGUGCACCAAUUUUGGUGUUUACUUACAUGCUGCAAUUCGUCCAGUCAGUGGGAUAUGGUAUGUAACUGUUUGCUUUCGUUCUUUUUUAAAGACGGAAUGCAGCGGUUGUCAGCCUUUCUCUUUUCACCCAUUACGGUGCUCUUUACUGAGUGUCGUAGAGGGCUGACACGUUUACUUUGAACAAAUUAGAGUGCUAAAAGCAGGCAUUAUGCCUGAAUAUUGUGUGCAUGGAAUAAUAGAAUAGGACCUCGGUUCUAUUUUGUUGGUUUUCUGAACCAGAGGUAAUGAUUGAUAGGAACGGACGGGGGCAUUCGUAUUGAGACGUUAGAGGUGAAAUUCUUGG
RNAcentral lists this ribosomal RNA (973 nucleotides) under Anechura japonica. Its description in RNAcentral is "SSU rRNA". It matches the Rfam family "Eukaryotic small subunit ribosomal RNA", at positions 44 to 923 of the family's 1831-position model. Lineage: Eukaryota; Metazoa; Arthropoda; Insecta; Dermaptera; Forficulidae. The record is from RNAcentral.